This 456-nucleotide ribosomal RNA is filed under the name Bacillus sp. LT23. RNAcentral's name for it is "bacterial SSU rRNA". It matches the Rfam family "Bacterial small subunit ribosomal RNA", at positions 56 to 494 of the family's 1533-position model. Lineage: Bacteria; Bacillati; Bacillota; Bacilli; Caryophanales; Bacillaceae. The record is from RNAcentral.
UGCAGUCGAGCGAACUGAUUAGAAGCUUGCUUCUAUGACGUUAGCGGCGGACGGGUGAGUAACACGUGGGCAACCUGCCUGUAAGACUGGGAUAACUUCGGGAAACCGAAGCUAAUACCGGAUAGGAUCUUCUCCUUCAUGGGAGAUGAUUGAAAGAUGGUUUCGGCUAUCACUUACAGAUGGGCCCGCGGUGCAUUAGCUAGUUGGUGAGGUAACGGCUCACCAAGGCAACGAUGCAUAGCCGACCUGAGAGGGUGAUCGGCCACACUGGGACUGAGACACGGCCCAGACUCCUACGGGAGGCAGCAGUAGGGAAUCUUCCGCAAUGGACGAAAGUCUGACGGAGCAACGCCGCGUGAGUGAUGAAGGCUUUCGGGUCGUAAAACUCUGUUGUUAGGGAAGAACAAGUACGAGAGUAACUGCUCGUACCUUGACGGUACCUAACCAGAAAGCCAC